GACGAACGCUGGCGGCGUGCCUAAUACAUGCAAGUCGAGCGAAUGGAGGAGAGCUUGCUCUCCGAAGUUAGCGGCGGACGGGUGAGUAACACGUGGGCAACCUGCCUAUAAGACUGGGAUAACUUCGGGAAACCGGAGCUAAUACCGGAUAGUUCUUUUCCUCUCAUGAGGAAAAGGGGAAAGAUGGUUUCGGCUAUCACUUAUAGAUGGGCCCGCGGCGCAUUAGCUAGUUGGUAAGGUAACGGCUUACCAAGGCAACGAUGCGUAGCCGACCUGAGAGGGUGAUCGGCCACACUGGGACUGAGACACGGCCCAGACUCCUACGGGAGGCAGCAGUAGGGAAUCUUCCGCAAUGGACGAAAGUCUGACGGAGCAACGCCGCGUGAACGAAGAAGGCCUUCGGGUCGUAAAGUUCUGUUGUUAGGGAAGAACAAGUACUAGAGUAACUGCUAGUACCUUGACGGUACCUAACCAGAAAGCCACGGCUAACUACGUGCCAGCCGCCGCAGUAAAAC
Molecule: ribosomal RNA, 515 nt
Filed under: uncultured bacterium
Lineage: Bacteria
Description: bacterial SSU rRNA
Rfam family: Bacterial small subunit ribosomal RNA
Source: RNAcentral